Molecule: ribosomal RNA, 253 nt
Filed under: uncultured bacterium
Lineage: Bacteria
Description: partial 16S ribosomal RNA
Rfam family: Bacterial small subunit ribosomal RNA
Source: RNAcentral
AACGUAGGAGGCAAGCGUUAUCCGGAGUUACUGGGCGUAAAGAGUGCGUAGGCGGAUCUGUAAGUGGGUGGUGAAAGCGCCCGGCUAAACCGGGCGAGGUCCAUUCAGACUGCAGGUCUAGAGGCGGAUAGAGGGGUGCGGAAUUCCGGGUGUAGCGGUGAAAUGUGUAGAGAUCCGGAGGAACACCAGUGGUGCAAACGGCGCCCUGGGUCCGAACUGACGCUGAAGCACGAAAGCGUGGGUAGCAAACAGG